RNAcentral lists this small RNA (108 nucleotides) under Salmonella enterica subsp. enterica. RNAcentral's name for it is "partial RtT sRNA". It matches the Rfam family "RtT RNA", at positions 27 to 130 of the family's 130-position model. Rfam says of the family: This family represents a bacterial cis-regulatory element known as RtT RNA. The exact function of RtT is unknown although it is thought that it may be involved in changing the cellular response in relation to amino acid starvation. The record is from RNAcentral. Lineage: Bacteria; Pseudomonadati; Pseudomonadota; Gammaproteobacteria; Enterobacterales; Enterobacteriaceae.
AACCUCCGGGGGCAAGAGGUUCGACCCGAGCGAAGCGAGAGAACGUUGCGCCAGCAACGGCCCGCAGGGCGAGCCACGUAGUGGCGAGUCAUCCUCUAUCACCGACCA